Molecule: ribosomal RNA, 433 nt
Filed under: uncultured bacterium
Lineage: Bacteria
Description: partial 16S ribosomal RNA
Rfam family: Bacterial small subunit ribosomal RNA
Source: RNAcentral
AACGAACGCUGGCGGCAUGCCUAACACAUGCAAGUCGAACGAGACCUUCGGGUCUAGUGGCGCACGGGUGCGUAACGCGUGGGAACCUGCCCUUAGGUUCGGAAUAACUCUCCGAAAGGGGUGCUAAUACCGGAUAAUGUCUUCGGACCAAAGAUUUAUCGCCUUUGGAUGGGCCCGCGUUGGAUUAGCUAGUUGGUAGGGUAAAAGCCUACCAAGGCGACGAUCCAUAGCUGGUCAGAGAGGAUGAUCAGCCACACUGGGACUGAGACACGGCCCAGACUCCUACGGGAGGCAGCAGUGGGGAAUAUUGGACAAUGGGCGAAAGCCUGAUCCAGCAAUGCCGCGUGAGUGAUGAAGGCCUUAGGGUUGUAAAGCUCUUUUACCCGGGAUGAUAAUGACAGUACCGGGAGAAUAAGCGCCGGCUAACUCCGUG